GUGCUCACUUUGGCAGCACAUAUACUAAAAUUGGAAUGAUACAGAGAAGAUUAGCAUGGCCCCUGCACAAGGAUGUCACAUAAAUUUAUGAAGUGUUCUGUAUUUUU
RNAcentral lists this small nuclear RNA (107 nucleotides) under Tursiops truncatus (common bottlenose dolphin). The record is from RNAcentral. RNAcentral also lists the same sequence under 1 other name. Lineage: Eukaryota; Metazoa; Chordata; Mammalia; Artiodactyla; Delphinidae.